This 320-nucleotide ribosomal RNA is filed under the name uncultured archaeon. RNAcentral's name for it is "bacterial SSU rRNA". It matches the Rfam family "Archaeal small subunit ribosomal RNA", at positions 427 to 747 of the family's 1478-position model. The record is from RNAcentral.
CUGUUGGAAUAAGGGCUGGGUAAGACGGGUGCCAGCCGCCGCGGUAAUACCCGCAGCCCAAGUGGUGGUCGAUAUUAUUGAGUCUAAAACGUUCGUAGCCGGUUCAAUAAAUCUCUGGGUAAAUCGGAGGGCUUAACCUUCCGAAUUCCGGAGAGACUGUUGAACUUGGGACCGGGAGAGGCAAGAGGUACUUCUGGGGUAGGGGUAAAAUCCUGUAAUCCUAGAAGGACCACCGGUGGCGAAGGCGUCUUGCUAGAACGGAUCCGACGGUGAGGGACGAAGCCCUGGGUCGCAAACGGGAUUAGAUACCCGUGUAGUCC